This 354-nucleotide long non-coding RNA is filed under the name Bos taurus (domestic cattle). Its description in RNAcentral is "long non-coding RNA NONBTAT011734". Lineage: Eukaryota; Metazoa; Chordata; Mammalia; Artiodactyla; Bovidae. The record is from RNAcentral.
UAUAAGUCAAUUAUUUCAUGCACAGAGCAUUAAAAUUCCUUAAGAUAGUCUCCUGUUCGUCACUGGGCUUUGCUUUGAUGGUUUCCUUGGAUAAAAGGCAAGCUCACAUCCUAGCCAUUUUCAGAGAUGCCAUUUCUCUGGCUCCAUAAGCUCUUACACAAAGCCUGGCAGACAGCAGAUUAACAUGUAUUCUGCUACACCAGCUCCUUUCUAUUCAUUUUAUAAAAUCGUCUCAAUAGGUUUGUAUCUCCAUGUUCUAUAAGUUGAUUAAUUCUAACCAUAAUUCUUUCUGAUCAAUCACUUACCAAAAUAUCAAAAUAAGCAUCAAUAGUCCAUUUACAAUAAGGAAAAGUG